Molecule: long non-coding RNA, 5101 nt
Organism: Chelonia mydas (Green sea turtle)
Lineage: Eukaryota; Metazoa; Chordata; Testudines; Cheloniidae
Exons: 12
Source: RefSeq, a predicted model, not a curated record
UUACAGCGAGUUAAUGCCUAGUCAUGCUCUGGAGCGUGCUACGGAGCCUCAGCUCCGGCCUUUCACAGUGUGUGUCUAUAUAACAGCAUGUAACAAUGUAAAUGAUUGCACUGGCAUUAGCCCAGCUAGAAUAGAAAGUACCCAGGGAAAUGCUGCUGACAGAUACUAUAGUCUUAUGGUGUGCCCUGUCAGACAUAAUGUGCUGAGUCUCAAGAGUCUGCCAGAUUGAUGAGCUCCAUCGGCUCGCCUGCAAACCAACAAACAACGCCGGCUGAGUCAGCAAAGUGUCCAGGCAGCUCAUCUCCUGCAAUUGUUUUUAUUUCAGAUGUCGGGAAAAGGAACACUGAUACUCUAUAACCAGAGCAUGUUCCCCUUGUUAGUUCUGAUUUCUCUGAGAAACUAAAGUGGUUUUUCCUGGUGCCAUUUUCAUUACCGUCUCUGUGAAGAAAAGCAAAAGCUGCAUAAUUAGGCAUUGAAAGGGAUUGUAUCUGUUCUUAUCGGUGCCUCCCAGCAGGGCCAGAUUUUGAGCUCAGUUACCCUUGUGUAAAUGUGGAGUAACCCCAUUGAUUUAAAUCUGGCCAUUCUGUUUGUACACCAGCUGCUGGCAGCCCUGGAGAACAGGCUGGACCUUCUUUUGGAGACAAUCAGUGCCUUACUUGAAGUGGCCACUGGCAAAAUUCUCAAGGUGUCCCUUACAUAGGAAGCUCCCUUGUUUUAGUUUCCUUUUGGUUUUCAAUUAUUUGCAAUGGGAAUGCAGAAUUAUGAACAGACUAUUUUAUUUAUUGCAAUGGAGAACAACAUAACUGUGUCAUGCCCAUCUGCUACUCUGGGUGCCUUUGAUGUUAUUUAAAAAACAAUAAAACUCAGCAAUAAACUCCCAGGAAGAGCUCCAGCAAAAUUCCACUCCCAACACAAUGCAAUGGGGAAGACCUCCGUCCCCAUAAAUAACCUCCCACAUCAAGCGCCAACUGGUCCAGCAGCCCAGACAAGAAGAUGCAUCUGGUAGGGUGCUCUAAAGGACAACAAUCCUGGGCUAUUGCGGCCCAAGGACAGCAGUUUCUUUCACACCUGAGGGCUCCUUGCAGGGAUAAUGAUUUAUAAUGAAGUUGCUAAUGCACAUAAUUCAGCACGUGGUCUUUUGUCCCCAGUCUCCAUUUGAUUUUUGAUGAGUUCAGAGGUAUGGACAAAAAUAUCACUGUUGACUCAUGCUAGCCAGUCCUUCGUUCUUGAAUCGGAAAGCUCUGAUCAGCCCACGGAGCAGCAGAAUGAGAUUAGGAGAUGACUCCUGAGCUCCCAGAUGCCUGUGGGAAAUACUAAGACUUGAGGUUCACUUCUUCAAAAAAAACCCAACACUGUGCUCAGCACACCUGCUAUCCCAGGCAUGGGGUUUUCUUGACAAUCAGGCCAUAUCAUGUAGUACCACAAAGAGUUCUGUGAUGUGGCAAAUAUGGCAGGACUACGAUGAGCCCAACAAGCUCAAUUUCAUGCAUGUAUUAUUUUAACACAGCCUUUGAACUCAGAUCUCUUCGAGACACAAGGCAAGUGCUUUAUACAAACUUUAGCCCAGUAGCUAUGGUCUCUCUGACUAUUCCCGGACUGAUGAAUACACACCCUGUGAUGUGUUGUUGCUUAGAUGUCAGACACUGUUAUAUGUUACUGCUUCAAUAAUUGCUGGUUUGUAUGCACUUCACAUGAAUUUGAAUUGACACAAGUGCAACAGUGUCGACAGGGUGAAGCAGCGCAUCCUUGCCCUUCUCCAUGAACAGAAUGGAUUCUCAUGCAUAACUGCUUCAGAUGUGACCUGCUCACCGUAGCAGCCACAUGCCCGUUCAGCAGGGGACCUGCUGAUGACCACAGUUGGAUGGAUGUCCAGUGUGUCACAUUCGGGCGAUGUGGCCAAAUAUAUCUUCCUCAGAGGAUGGACGAGACUGCCGUCUGCAUUUGGCACUGCUUACAGCAUUUCAGCCGUGUAGUUUUCCAGGCUACCCACUCAAUGCUAGAUUGAGACUACAGACCCAGACUACAGAUGGACUGGCAAUGCAAUAUCCACUUUACCCAUCCAGUCCCAAGGGCACUGUUCCCUCCACAAGCCUAUUGCUUUUUGCCAACAAAAAAAAAAAAAAGAAGAAGGCAGUCUGUUGGGCAAAUAAAUCUUUCCAGAGAAAACAGAUCUGUUUCCAAAUCAGUCAACUGUGCUGAGCUGGAAAGGAAGAAAUUUUAUUUUUUCAGGAUGAAAGCAAAACAAGAUCCUUCCCUGUUUACCCUGUCUCACCCAUUUCUAAAGAAGAAUUCAGAACACAGGAUGAAUCCCUGAAGAUCUUUAUAACAUGAGAAGAGCUGUGCAAAUUAUUCUGAGCUCCAGACCCACUAAAACUUAGUUCUGGGGUUGAAGUUGAACUUUGGCUUUUACUCACAAUAUUCAGUGAACAUGGGCUGUGGAUAUUUGUACUGAAGAGCUUGACGAUUCCCCUCCCCACAGCCAGUCUCUCUCUAUUUACUCAACUUCCCGCCUCCCUCAACAAACCCCAAGACCUUCCUGAAGACAUUGGAUCUGAGAAGUGGAGGGAAGGGAUAGUCUGGAAGGCCAGCCUGGGAGACCUUUUUUUACUUUGUUGACCUCAAUCCCCAAACCACGCUUGAUUCGUUUACUUUGAAUCCUUGUGACUCAAAUCAUGCAUGGAUUCCAACGUGUCAAGCUGCCGAGAAGCUACUCUGGGUUGUAACAGCAUGCGCACUGACCUGGUCACACUCUGAAGGUAUUCCUGGAAGCACUACCUCUGGAGGCCUAACAGAAAGAUGUCUGCUCCCCACCUCUUCAUAAGAAACAGAGGAGGCAAGGCAAGCCCUUCGACAGGCAGUGAGUGGUCAGCAUGAGAGAGGGACAGGAGGAGUGUGCUGUUAUGAGGACUCCGAGAUAAAGCUACUCCUGGUAUAGGUGGAGUUAUGAUAUGCCAUUUCUUGUAUGCUACAAAUGCUCCACCCAUGUGCUUUAAGAGGGAUGCUGGAUACCUUGUUCAUUUGUCACAUCAAACAUCAUGCUAUACAUUUGGCAAAGGUCUAAUCUGGAGGUGUGUAUUUGUCCAUCUAAGCCAUAAGCCAAUCCAGGCGGUGUAGGUGGCAGCCAUCACUUAAAACAUCUGAGUACCCCAGGGCAAAUAAAAUGAAGACAGUUGUAAAAGUUUUUGAAGUCCUGUUGCAAUCAGUGAACUAACUACAGACAAACUUUCAAGUCUAGGUGUGAAGUAGGGAGUAUGGGUCAUGUUCUGCCCAGACUUACUUCCUGUGCCAUCCACUGAAACCACUGGAGUGACUCCCAAGUUUUCUUUGAUAUAACAGAGAAGAAUUAGGCCUAAUAUCUCUUCCCCAACUGAAAAAGAAAAAUCCAUGUUCACCUACUGACUGAAGGAACCACUGGCAAAGUUUACCAAUUUCAAGUGAACUUGGGCUGCUGGAAAAAAAGACUUAGGCACUCUCUUAAAGGCCAAAAGAGGAGCUUGGCUUUUCCUGCUUGGUUUCUGAAAAACUGACAUGAUGGACAGAUUCUCAAACAGUCACAAUUAACAAACAACUAUCAGUGAAGAGAAACCUAGGAAGGAAAACGCAGGUAAAAGGUGCCUAGCACACAAGUGAGGACCCCGCUUGUGGAUGAACUUGGUGAAAAGAGGUACAGCCACAGGAACAUUGGAUCUAAAGGAGCACUUCAAGCCAGAGGAGCAAAGAACAGGACAGCAAGAAUGGGAUUGGAUUUACAGCCCAGGAUAGGAAAAGCUGAUUCUUCUCUGAAGUGACACAGUACAUUGUUGAGUAAUCUUUUGUUCUUGUUAGUAACAAUACAUUUGGUAUUAACUGCACAGAGUGAGGAAGAGCAGUGUGUACAAAGCUCGCGAAGAUAAAUGUGCCAGUAACCUAUAGUUUAUUAUUGUAAGUAGUAAGUACUUGACAAUAUUCUAUGUUAUUUAUGCUCCUGGUACAAUAUUUGGGUUUUCCCUUGUAAAGUUCUCAACAUUUAAAAUAAUCACUUUUGUCUUAGUUUGUCUCUGCCUCUCCUCACAGCUAGGCUAGCCUGGUCACUGCAUAGCGACCAAGUGCAUGUGGGAGCCAAGUGAUGUACAGAGAGAGCAUUUUCCCGUGGCAAUUAGCUCUGCAUUGUUCAGAUUUGUUACCCAGUUUGGAGUCUUGACAUCCCAAUGUAUCUUCCCACAUACAAACAUCUUAAGAAAAUUCAUCAAACAAUCCCUGGAGACGCUUGGAAAAAACAACUCCAAUAUGUGGCAGCAGCUGAUACACAAACGUUCAAAUCCAUCCACACGUAUUCCCGACCCAUCACCACUGUAGUAGGCACAGUAUUUCCUCAAAAUCCCCCUCUCCCCCGACGAUGAAAGACCAUGAGGAACUGAAUCCAGGAAUGGAGGCUCCAAACACUUCACUUGAGGCUACGCACAGUUCUCAGUGCAGAACAGUGUGUAAAAGCCCCUAUUUUUGGCUUUGGAGAGCUGCAAAUGAUGGGCCUUGACAUUCCUAAAUGCAGACACUAAAUUCAAUGAUUGGAUUUUAAAAGAGGGAGGAGAUGAACACGAAGGCAGAGUCUGAAACAGACAUGGUGAAAUAUACUGUACUAACAUGCCGAGCUGCCUCGUAUAAUUAACAUCAGUAUAAACCGUAUCUUCCAGCUCAGCUUCAAUUCAUAGGGUGUUUGUUCAGGAGCCUUCUUGUUACAGUGUGGCAUUCCUGGCAGCAUCCCAAGCCUGGCUAACCUGUCGGUCUCACCUCCUGCACCAUUUAACUGUCAGUUAUGUUUUUGUGGUUGACUGGUCAGUGAAAUGACGAAUGAAUAAAUGUUUGUGCUAACUGAUCUACUGGCAGAUGCCUCAUUAAGCAGAAAUGGACAGUGGAUGAUAUGCUGUUCAUGUGGUUUUGUUUAACUUCAGCAAAUGCCGGCUGGGGUGAGGGAGCAUAUUUUAUAUCAGACAUGUUUGGAAAAUAAAAUACUAAAUUUAUCCCUCAAUCUGUUCCCCUCCCCUCCUCUCUACCCCUCCUCCCAGCCUGUUAAAAGAGUGUUGAAAUAAGGAACUCCUAACUGAGUCCAGCUUUAAGUUCUGUU